This 435-nucleotide ribosomal RNA is filed under the name Graptodytes eremitus. RNAcentral's name for it is "SSU rRNA". It matches the Rfam family "Eukaryotic small subunit ribosomal RNA", at positions 22 to 426 of the family's 1831-position model. Lineage: Eukaryota; Metazoa; Arthropoda; Insecta; Coleoptera; Dytiscidae. The record is from RNAcentral.
AGUCAUAUGCUUGUCUCAAAGAUUAAGCCAUGCAUGUCUCAGUACAAGCCGCACUAAGGUGAAACCGCGAAAGGCUCAUUAAAUCAGUUAUGGUUCCUUAGAUCGUACCCACACUUACUUGGAUAACUGUGGUAAUUCUAGAGCUAAUACAUGCAAACAGAGCUCCGACCGGAGACGGGAGGAGUGCUUUUAUUAGAUCAAAACCAAUCGGCGGCGGUGGCGUUCGCGCGUCACCGUUACCCGCUCAACCUGGUGACUCUGAAUAACUUUCCGCUGAUCGCACGGUCUCGCACCGGCGACGCAUCUUUCAAAUGUCUGCCUUAUCAACUGUCGAUGGUAGGUUCUGCGCCUACCAUGGUCGUAACGGGUAACGGGGAAUCAGGGUUCGAUUCCGGAGAGGGAGCGUGAGAAACGGCUACCACAUCCAAGGAAGGC